UUUUCACUGAGCUAAGACCAGUCAUCAUGUUCACUGUUAUAUUCAUGUAUCUGUGCCUUUCACUAGGUGACUCCAUGGCAGAUUCAAUAGAGCCACUUUUAGAGCCUCAUAAAGCUGUAGAUGAAGGUGACAAUGUUACUCUGUCCUGCAAAUACAAACCCAGCACAAGUUCAACAAACAACUACCUCCACUGGUACAGGCAAUAUUCAAAAUCUAAACCCGAGUUCCUUUUGUAUAUUCACCAAAGAGGAACACCAAUCAGUCCCAACAAUCCCUCAAGAAUGUCUGUUAAAGUUGAUGAUAAAACUAAACAAGUGGAUCUGAUCAUCUCCUCUGCUGCUGUAUCAGAAAAAAUCAUACUUCCUGCGAAACCACAGACAGUUGACUCCCUGAUGGAGCAACUUGAAGAAAAGCUUCAGUAUGAAGAUCCAGAAUUCAGCAAUUCCCUUGUGAAUCUUACCUACAUUGCUGACUUGCCAGAUAAGCCCACAUGGAACUGUGAUGACAACAACCCCUAA
Non-coding RNA from Hemibagrus wyckioides, 518 nucleotides. The record is from the annotation of a RefSeq genome assembly. NCBI's taxonomy places the organism in Eukaryota, Metazoa, Chordata, Actinopteri, Siluriformes, Bagridae.